This is a non-coding RNA of Myotis davidii, 72 nucleotides long. The record is from Rfam. Lineage: Eukaryota; Metazoa; Chordata; Mammalia; Chiroptera; Vespertilionidae.
GGUGCUUCUCGGGUGACACACCCCGGAAUUGGGCUCCCUCCUCUCUGGUUCCAGGUGCAUCACCCGAGAACC